UUACGAGAGCUUGCUCUCGUAAAUUAGCGGCGGACGGGUGAGUAACACGUGGGCAACCUGCCUAUAAGACUGGGAUAACUUCGGGAAACCGGAGCUAAUACCGGAUAAUUCACAUCUACUCAUGUAGAUGUGCUGAAAGACGGUUUACGCUGUCACUUAUAGAUGGGCCCGCGGCGCAUUAGCUAGUUGGUGAGGUAAUGGCUCACCAAGGCCACGAUGCGUAGCUGACCUGAGAGGGUGAUCGGCCGCACUGGGACUGAGACACGGCCCAGACUCCUACGGGAGGCAGCAGUAGGGAAUCUUCCGCAAUGGACGAAAGUCUGACGGAGCAACGCCGCGUGAGUGAUGAAGGUUUUCGGA
This 360-nucleotide ribosomal RNA is filed under the name uncultured bacterium. RNAcentral describes it as "bacterial SSU rRNA". It matches the Rfam family "Bacterial small subunit ribosomal RNA", at positions 70 to 422 of the family's 1533-position model. The record is from RNAcentral.